AAGUUAAGCUCGAUGUUCCAGUUAACAUAGUGGUAUUAUCAUGAAAAGAAAUAAAACAGUAAUAAAGAAUGGUCAUGUAUAAUAGUUAUCUCAACACCCAAAACCAUAUAUAGCAAUAAAAAAGACUACCCAAAAGUUCAGGGGUAAACAAGGUGAAAAGAUAACUAGACUAGGGUGACCUAUUGGGUCCCAUAAAAAUUAAGACUAUGCAUGAUAAAAUGAUUAUAUAGAACAUUAUUGGGUAAAUAAAAGUGGUCAAGGGCACAACUUUCCUUCAAUGAGCUCCUGCUCAACAACUUCUACCUGUUGAACACCUCGAUCCUCGGCCACUGGCUCGUCUAGUCGCCAUAAUAUAAACAAACAUGGUACAAGGGAGAAAAUAACAUCACACCAAACAUGAAUUCAGAAUACAUAAUAAUAAUAUACGCAUCGAAACGAUAUCGUAGGAACAAGAAUCACUAAAUUCGGAGUUACGGAUUUUAUGUUAUGAUUUUCCGAAGUUUUUGUGUAUUUGUUACAAAAUUAACUAAGUGAUCAAUUUUAAUAUGGGUAUCAUGCUAAAACAGAGAUACUAAAUGGUAAACGAUAUUAAUACCAAAUUAUAGAAAUUGGAAUGGACUAAAAAGAAGUUAAAAUGAAUUUUCUCGGAAUUAAACAAGUUUCUACAAUUGUUUUAGUACCAAAAACCCUUUUUAUAUUUUAUAUUUCAUUUAACAACACCCUGGACUGCGCACAGGAUUACUGAAGAAUAUAUGGGCUACAUCAUAAAAAUUCUUAAGACUCAGAUUCAAUCUGUGUGGGACUGCGGGUUGUUUAUCAAUAAAUCCAGGGACUCUUUUGUAAAGCCACCGACCAAAGAGGUAUCCAGGAACCCCAGACGUCAGAUUAGAAAUCAACGGUGCCGAUUAGAUCGAUUACAUAAACGGAUCAUUAUGCAGUGCCGAUGGUCCGAUCCAAAAUCUAUGCUCCAUAUUUCCCCGUGUCCAGAUCUAGUAUGAUUCUCACGAUCUCCAACCAACAACCACGAUUCACUGGCCGCCAAUUGGUAACCCAUAGCUAAUCUCGACCGUCGACUAUGGAUCAGACGGUGUGCGGUCUAUCUCCCUCAUCUGACCGCGACCGGCGGUGGUGGCGCCCUGGAGGUCAAAUCGUGCCGGCGAACUCUUCCUGCCCGGUGAUUCAGAGCACCAUACUUCGAUUCUACUAGCGCUAAAUGAAGAGGACGACCGCACGAACACGGAGGACGUAUACUCACCGACGGUUAUGGCGUCGAGUCUCCUGGCGACGAUGUGGUGCGGCUUGAGCGCCAACCAAGACUUCAGUGAGGAAUUCCCGGUGAUGUAGGGGCCAAUCCCGCCGACUAUGUUGUGGAGGCCUUUCCCCUCGGUCUGUAGAUGGCUCCGGACUCCACACACGGCGCGGAUGGCGGCUCGGUGAAAAGUUCCUCCGCAGCGGCACCACACUUCCUCUCCCUCUCUGGUUUGCGACGUGGCCAGGGUUUCCAAGGUUCAGGAUGGUGCGGACGGGUCCCAGGGGCGCUAAAUAUGGACAUGAGUGGUGGCCGAGGAGUCCGGAAGGUGGAUGGCUAACUGGUCGGUCCUGGGGAAAUUGCAACGAUGGUUGCGCGCGGGGAAGAAGUACAGUGGAGGGGGGCCACC
This 1658-nucleotide long non-coding RNA is filed under the name Zea mays. Its description in RNAcentral is "long non-coding RNA (ZMAY_LNC003586)". Lineage: Eukaryota; Viridiplantae; Streptophyta; Magnoliopsida; Poales; Poaceae. The record is from RNAcentral.